AUACGGAGGGUGCAAGCGUUAAUCGGAAUUACUGGGCGUAAAGCGCUCGUAGGCGGUUUGUUAAGUCGGAUGUGAAAGCCCCGGGCUCAACCUGGGAACUGCAUUCGAUACUGGCAGACUAGAGUAUAGUAGAGGCAAGUGGAAUUCCGGGUGUAGCGGUGAAAUGCGUAGAUAUCCGGAGGAACAUCAGUGGCGAAGGCGACUUGCUGGACUAAUACUGACGCUGAGGAGCGAAAGCGUGGGGAGCAAACGGGAUUAGAAACCCCAGUAGUCC
Molecule: ribosomal RNA, 274 nt
Filed under: uncultured bacterium
Lineage: Bacteria
Description: partial 16S ribosomal RNA
Rfam family: Bacterial small subunit ribosomal RNA
Source: RNAcentral